This is a transfer RNA of Fusarium graminearum, 96 nucleotides long. It matches the Rfam family "tRNA". Rfam says of the family: Transfer RNA (tRNA) molecules are approximately 80 nucleotides in length. The record is from Rfam. NCBI's taxonomy places the organism in Eukaryota, Fungi, Ascomycota, Sordariomycetes, Hypocreales, Nectriaceae.
GGGCGAAUGGUUUAGUGGUAUAAUACUCCCUUAGCAUGUUCGCUCCUCCGAGCCCAUCAUUGGGAGUGGUCCAGGGUUCGAUUCCCUGUUCGUCCA